RNAcentral lists this ribosomal RNA (387 nucleotides) under uncultured bacterium. RNAcentral describes it as "bacterial SSU rRNA". It matches the Rfam family "Bacterial small subunit ribosomal RNA", at positions 30 to 419 of the family's 1533-position model. The record is from RNAcentral.
AUUGAACGCUGGCGGAAUGCUUUACACAUGCAAGUCGAGCGGCAGCACGGGGCAACCUGGUGGCGAGUGGCGAACGGGUGAGUAAUGCAUCGGAACGUGCCAUUGAGUGGGGGAUAACGUAGCGAAAGUUGCGCUAAUACCGCAUAUUCUGUGAGCAGGAAAGCAGGGGACCGCAAGGCCUUGCGUUCUUUGAGCGGCCGAUGUCAGAUUAGCUAGUUGGUGAGGUAACGGCUUACCAAGGCGACGAUCUGUAGCGGGUCUGAGAGGAUGAUCCGCCACACUGGAACUGAGACACGGUCCAGACUCCUACGGGAGGCAGCAGUGGGGAAUUUUGGACAAUGGGCGCAAGCCUGAUCCAGCCAUGCCGCGUGAGUGAAGAAGGCCUUC